This 78-nucleotide transfer RNA is filed under the name Candidatus Bathyarchaeota archaeon. RNAcentral's name for it is "tRNA-Ala". It matches the Rfam family "tRNA". From Rfam's summary of the family: Transfer RNA (tRNA) molecules are approximately 80 nucleotides in length. Their secondary structure includes four short double-helical elements and three loops (D, anti-codon, and T loops). Lineage: Archaea; Thermoproteati; Candidatus Bathyarchaeota. The record is from RNAcentral.
CGGGCGGUAGCUCAGCCUGGUAGAGCUUCCGAGCUGGCCACCGGAGUGUCGCAGGUUCAAAUCCUGCCCGCCCGACCA